Molecule: transfer RNA, 75 nt
Filed under: Bacillus thuringiensis
Lineage: Bacteria; Bacillati; Bacillota; Bacilli; Caryophanales; Bacillaceae
Description: tRNA-OTHER
Rfam family: tRNA
About the family: Transfer RNA (tRNA) molecules are approximately 80 nucleotides in length. Their secondary structure includes four short double-helical elements and three loops (D, anti-codon, and T loops). Further hydrogen bonds mediate the characteristic L-shaped molecular structure. tRNAs have two regions of fundamental functional importance: the anti-codon, which is responsible for specific mRNA codon recognition, and the 3' end, to which the tRNAs corresponding amino acid is attached (by aminoacyl-tRNA synthetases). tRNAs cope with the degeneracy of the genetic code in two manners: having more than one tRNA (with a specific anti-codon) for a particular amino acid; and 'wobble' base-pairing, i.e. permitting non-standard base-pairing at the 3rd anti-codon position.
Source: RNAcentral
CGUCCCAUAGCUCAGUUUGGUAGAGUGCCUGAAAUAUAGUAGGGAGGUCGCUGGUUCGAAUCCAGUUGGAGACGU